UUUUUUUUUUUCUUCAGAAUAUGUGAAACUACGUUGUAUUAUCAUUAUGCUUUCCUUUGAUCUCAGAGAAACAUGAUAUGAAUCGAACUUGAGCAACAAUAUUGUGGGUCUCUUCGUCUUCUUCACUAAGAGAAGGUUGCAGCCUACUUUGGUUCCAAGGGUACGUUUUUGGUGUGAGACUGUGAGCGUCCUAAAUCCUAAUACUUCAAGAGGUUUGGUAACUUUGAAGUGUACGUUUCUGCUGUGAGGGUUUUUGUUGUGUUUGGUGGGUUAUCUUCACUUUCAGUUUUGUAAUUGUGUAGACAAGAUGACUUUAGUUUUGUUCGAUUUAAGUUUCAAACAUGCCAUGAGAAUGAGCAUGAGUGAAGAGGUAACCUUGACUAUUAAUUGAGUUUUAUUGCAAGCGUUUUGUUACUUAGUUCAGGAGAAAGGUUUAGUUUUUUCUUUUUGUGAGAUUUGAUUCAUUUUCUGUGAGAAUUUUGGUGCUGAUAACACCAUGCGUUUGGCCUCUUUGGUUUAACCAUGACCUGUUUCUGUCUUUAAUAGAGAAGAACGUGUAAACACUAAUACAUUCACCCUCGUCCGAGCUUCCCAUUUUCUUUUUUGUGGCUGCAAUAAU
Brassica oleracea var. oleracea is the source of this 619-nucleotide long non-coding RNA. RefSeq lists it as uncharacterized. NCBI's taxonomy places the organism in Eukaryota, Viridiplantae, Streptophyta, Magnoliopsida, Brassicales, Brassicaceae. The record is from RefSeq and is a predicted model, not a curated record. The transcript has 4 exons.